Molecule: non-coding RNA, 210 nt
Filed under: Nocardiopsis flavescens
Lineage: Bacteria; Bacillati; Actinomycetota; Actinomycetes; Streptosporangiales; Nocardiopsidaceae
Source: RNAcentral
UGCUAUCCUGCCCGGGCCAGUCGUACCACUUCCGGUGGUCAGGGAAUCCGGUGUGAAUCCGGAACUGACGCGCAGCGGUGAGGGGGACGGGCGGGGUAGUGCGCCACUGGGGCGGGAGCGGGGCCGGGAACGGCCGCGCGGUCCGGCCUGGGAAGGCAUCCCGUCCGGGUGAGCCCGAGUCCGAAGACCUGCUGGCCCCGCGCGCCGACC